RNAcentral lists this ribosomal RNA (492 nucleotides) under uncultured bacterium. RNAcentral's name for it is "partial 16S ribosomal RNA". It matches the Rfam family "Bacterial small subunit ribosomal RNA", at positions 29 to 507 of the family's 1533-position model. The record is from RNAcentral.
AGUGAACGCUGGCGGUAGGCCUAACACAUGCAAGUCGAACGGCAGCACAGUAAGAGCUUGCUCUUACGGGUGGCGAGUGGCGGACGGGUGAGGAAUACAUCGGAAUCUACUUUUUCGUGGGGGAUAACGUAGGGAAACUUACGCUAAUACCGCAUACGACCUACGGGUGAAAGCAGGGGAUCUUCGGACCUUGCGCGAUUGAAUGAGCCGAUGUCGGAUUAGCUAGUUGGCGGGGUAAAGGCCCACCAAGGCGACGAUCCGUAGCUGGUCUGAGAGGAUGAUCAGCCACACUGGAACUGAGACACGGUCCAGACUCCUACGGGAGGCAGCAGUGGGGAAUAUUGGACAAUGGGCGCAAGCCUGAUCCAGCCACGCCGCGUGGGUGAAGAAGGCCUUCGGGUUGUAAAGCCCUUUUGUUGGGAAAGAAAAGCAGCAGGUUAAACCCCCGCUGUUCUGACGGUACCCAAAGAAUAAGCACCGGCUAACUUCGUG